GUCUUCAAUUUCUAUUGGGUUUUGGCUAUUCAUAAAAGUUAUCUACUUACUAAAAAAAAAUCCAUAUGUACAGUUAGCUCAAGAAGCUAGCCCAUUGUGUUACAUAAUAUAUGUUACUAAAAAUAUUUAAGACUGAGUUGCUGAUUUGAUUAUAUAGAUAUUUCUCCACAAUAUGGUGAAAGCAAUCUUUGAAUUUGUAGCAUUCUGAUACUAAUGGAUUUCAAGAUCAAUAUAAAUAAUA
This is a long non-coding RNA of Octopus sinensis (East Asian common octopus), 241 nucleotides long. RefSeq lists it as uncharacterized. Lineage: Eukaryota; Metazoa; Mollusca; Cephalopoda; Octopoda; Octopodidae. The record is from RefSeq and is a predicted model, not a curated record. The transcript has 2 exons.